GCGCGGUUAGCUCAGGGGUAGAGCAUUACCUUGACACGGUAGGGGUCAGAGGUUCAAAUCCUCUACCGCGCACCA
RNAcentral lists this transfer RNA (75 nucleotides) under bacterium. RNAcentral's name for it is "tRNA-Val". It matches the Rfam family "tRNA". From Rfam's summary of the family: Transfer RNA (tRNA) molecules are approximately 80 nucleotides in length. Their secondary structure includes four short double-helical elements and three loops (D, anti-codon, and T loops). RNAcentral also lists the same sequence under 2 other names. The record is from RNAcentral.